This is a long non-coding RNA of Neofelis nebulosa (Clouded leopard), 2631 nucleotides long. RefSeq lists it as uncharacterized. The record is from RefSeq and is a predicted model, not a curated record. NCBI's taxonomy places the organism in Eukaryota, Metazoa, Chordata, Mammalia, Carnivora, Felidae. The transcript has 4 exons.
CUUCUCCUAGACACUUCCUAAUUUGAAGCCCUACUUAGAAACAGAAGAAUGACAAGAGAUACUUCAGACAAUGGACUAAGAACAACAUGGGAAAUCUGCUGAUUUGUGCUUCAUCUAACGGCAAUAUAAUGUUUGGAUCAUACCCCAAGCCUCCAUGAAAGCCAAUCCCAAUAUAUGAAACCUCCAACAGAGAAUGUAGUCCUGAUCAUAACUGCAAAAUCUGACAACAACCAAAUGUUCAUCGACAAUAGAAUGGAUAAAUACAUGUGGUAUAAUCACACAGGAAUCUUAUUCAGCAAUGAAAAUGGGCACACUACAGCUGCAACAUGAUGAAUCUCAAGCAUAAUAUUAAGUGAAAGAAGCAAGUCAUGAACAUAUUUACAAUAUUAUCCCAUCUAUAUGAAGUCCCAAAGUAGGGUUUGCAGAAGGCUGCAGUGUUGAAUGGGACCGCAUUCUCAUCUGAAGGCUCAACUGAGGAUGGGUCAGUUGCUAAGUUCAUUCAUGUAGUUGCUGGCAGGAUUCAGUUGCUCACAUACCAUGGAACUCAAGGCUUUUAUGGAUAUUGGUGAGAAGCCCCCUCAGUUCCUUGCCAUAUGGUCCUCCCAACAUGCUCGCAACAUGGCAUAUGGCUUCCAUCAUAGCAAAGGCUGGUACAAUUCAUUAGGCUACAGACACAGAUGGAGAAGCAAGUGUUGGAGAAAAGAGCUGAGGGGAAAUCUGAACCCCAAGAUGAAUCCAGGGAGAACACCACAUGAAAACAAAGCAGAGAUCAGGAAUGCCAAAGGUUGCCAACAAACCACCAGAAACCCUCAGAAAGAGCCAACUCUGAUGACACCUGGAUCUUGGACUUUUGUCCUCCAGUACUGUGAGCCAAUAGAUUUCUACUGUUUAAGCCACUCAGUUGAAGGUACUUCAUUACAACAGCCCUAGGAAACUUACAUACUUCGAGAGAUAGAAGGUAAUGUCUCUCCGGACUAGAGGAAAGAAGGGGAAAUUGGGUUAUAGAAAAUAAAGGAAGCAAUCCCUAUCAAAAUAAUACCAGCAUUCUUCACAGAACUAGAAUAAACAAUUCUAAAAUUUAUAUGGAACCAGAAAAGACCCCAAAUAGCCAAAGCAAUCUUGAAAAAGAAAACCAAAGCUGGAGGCAUCACAGUCCUGGACUUCAAGAUGUAUUACAAGGCUGUAAUCAUUAAGACAGUAUGGUACUGGCACAAAAGCAGACAGACCAAUGGAACAGAAUAGAGAACCCAGAAAUGGACCCACAAAUGUAUGGCCAACUGAUCUUUGACAAAGCAGGAAAGAAUAUCCAAUGGAAUAAAGACAGUCUCUUCAGCAAACGGUGCUGGGAAAACUGGACGGCAACAUGCAGAAAAAUGAACCUGGACCACUUUCUUACACCAUCCACAAAAAUUAACUCAAAAUGGAUGAAAGACAUAACAUAAGACAGGAAGCCAUCAAAAUCCUAGAGGGGAAAUCAGGAAAAAACCUCUUUGACCCCAGCCACAGCAACUUCUUACUCAACAUGUCUCCAGAGGCAAGGGAAACAAAAGCAAAAAUGAACCAUUGGGACCUCAUCAAAAUAAAAAUUUUCUGCACAGCGAAGGAAACAAUCGGCAAAACUAAAAGGCAACCAACAGAAUGGGAGAAAAUAUUUGCAAAUGACAUAUCUGAUAAAUGGUUACUUUCCAAAAUCUAUAUAGAACUUAUCAAACUCAAUGCCAAAAAGAAAAAAAUCAAAUAAAAAACCCAAAUAAUCCAGUGAAGAAACAGGCAAAAGACCUGAAUAGAUACUUCUCCAAAGUAGACAUCCAGAUGGCGAACCGACACAUGAAAAAAUGCUCAAUGUCAUUCAUCAUCAGGGAAAUACAAACCAAAACCACAAUGAGAUACCACCUUACACCUGCCAGAAUGGCUAACAAUAACCACUCAGGCAAUGAUAGCGUUGGCAAGGAUGCAGGGAAAGAGGAUCUCUUUUGCACUGCUGGUGGGAAUGUAAACUGGGUGUAGCCACUCUGGGAAACAGUAUGGAAGUUCCUCAAAAAAUUAAAAAUAGAACUAUCCUAUGACCCAGCAAUUGCACUAUUAGGUAUUUAUCCAAGGGAUACAGGUGUGCUACUUCAAAGAGGCACAUGCACCCCAAUGUUUAUAGCAGCACUAUCAACAAUAGCCAAAGUAUGGAAAGAGCCCAAAUGUCCAUCGACAGAUGAAUGGAUAAAGAAGAUAUGGUAUAUAUACUAUGGAGUAUUACUAGGCAAUCAAAAAGAAUGAAAUCUUACCAUUUGCAAUUAUGUGGAUUGAACCAGAGAGUAUUAUGCUAAGCGAAAUAAGUCAGUCAGAGAAAGACAAAUAUCAUAUGACUUCACUCAUAUGAGGACUUUAAGAUACAAAACAGAUGAACAUAAGGGAAGGGAAGCAAAAAUAACGUAAAAACAGGGAGGGGGACAAAACAUAAGAGACUCUUAAAUAUAGAGAACAAACAGAGGGUUACUGGAAGGGUUAUAGAAGGGGGGAUGGGCUAAAUGGAGAAGGGGCACUAAGGAAUCUACUCCUAAAAUCAUUGUUGCACUAUAUGCUAACUAACUUGGAUGUAAAUUUAUAAAUAAAUAAAUAAAUAAAUUUUUAAAAAAGAAA